RNAcentral lists this long non-coding RNA (415 nucleotides) under Cicer arietinum (chickpea). Its description in RNAcentral is "long non-coding RNA (CARI_LNC003569)". The record is from RNAcentral. Lineage: Eukaryota; Viridiplantae; Streptophyta; Magnoliopsida; Fabales; Fabaceae.
ACGAUUCAAAACUAACAGAAUUCCAAAUCAAAACUAACAAACAAAAAUCAACACUAACUAACAACAAUCAACACAAACAAAAUAGAAAUCUGAACCUUUUGAACAAAGCAGCAACGCGAUCUGGAGACAGAUGCGGUUGCGACAAACAGAUAACGACGAACAGCGACAGAGGCAGUCAGGCAGAGGCGGCCGCAAGCCCGCAACGAGCAGAGGAGCGAUCUGGACUGGAGGCAGAGUGAGGCGGUCGCACGUUUGCCGUGAUUGUGAAUCUGAAUCUGGAGAAGGGAGAGAGGAAGGCUGGAAUAGAGAGGAAGAAAGAGAAAAUUGAAUUAGGUUUAGGUAUUGUUGUAAUUUUUGAGUUUUAACAAGGCCAUUUUAGUCAUUUUACCUAUAAAUUUUUUUUUAUAUUUUUUCU